GGCAUGCCACAGCUCCUCUAGGCUCUGAACCCCUCUCAGCUGAGCCUGGUAGAUGCCAGCUGACCGGCUGCAGCCCCUGAGUAGAGGUUGGCUGUCCUAGCAAUAGAGUAGGGCGGGGGCACAGCAGACAUGGGACCAUCAUCUGGAUUCCUAGACGUGCAACUGCAAGUUUGGGAUGUGAUGGAGAACGAGCUGCACAAGUCUCUGGGCUCCUGUAAAAGAUUGGUUGCAGAAAUGUCCUCAGAGUUGUUGGGAGGAUUCAAUAGAAGAUGCAUGCAAAGCACCUGGCUGAAUGCCCAGAGCCCUGCAGACACUCAGGAAUGAGCUUAGAAGAAAUAAAGGAAAUAUCCCAGGAGCAAAAACAAAACACACACAUGCUCCUCUCAAGAGUCACUGGCAUCCCAGCUGAAAAGUCAGCUCUACACCUAUGGGACCUAUGGGCCUGUUUCUGAGCUCUGUUUUGUCUCUUUGGUCUGAGUGUCUAUCUGAGGCCAAUACCACAGUACCAAAUGCGAUUGCUUUAGAGGAAGUCUUGAAAUCAGAUGAGG
RNAcentral lists this long non-coding RNA (548 nucleotides) under Homo sapiens (human). RNAcentral's name for it is "non-protein coding LINC01880:14". Lineage: Eukaryota; Metazoa; Chordata; Mammalia; Primates; Hominidae. The record is from RNAcentral.